CCGCCAGAAAACUACGAGCGAAAAGCUUAAAACUCAAAGGACUUGGCGGUGCUCCACACCGACUUAGAGGAGCCUGUCCUAUAAUNGAUACCCCACGCUAAACCUCACCAAUCUUCGCCAAAUCAGCCUAUAUACCGCCGUCGCCAACCUACCUCAUGAGAGAAAAACAGUGGGUUCAAAAGUCUAACAACUAAAACGUCAGGUCAAGGUGUAGCUAAUAGAAUGGAAGAGAUGGGCUACAUUUUUU
RNAcentral lists this ribosomal RNA (247 nucleotides) under Sceloporus malachiticus. RNAcentral describes it as "partial 12S ribosomal RNA". It matches the Rfam family "Bacterial small subunit ribosomal RNA", at positions 869 to 1235 of the family's 1533-position model. The record is from RNAcentral. Lineage: Eukaryota; Metazoa; Chordata; Lepidosauria; Squamata; Phrynosomatidae.